UGGGGAAUAUUGGACAAUGGGCGCAAGCCUGAUCCAGCAAUGCCGCGUGAGUGAUGAAGGCCUUAGGGUUGUAAAGCUCUUUCGCCCGCGACGAUGAUGACGGUAGCGGGAGAAGAAGCCCCGGCUAACUCCGUGCCAGCAGCCGCGGUAAUACGGAGGGGGCUAGCGUUGUUCGGAAUUACUGGGCGUAAAGGGCGCGCAGGCGGCUGCUCAAGUCAGGCGUGAAAGGCCUGGGCUCAACCCGGGAAUUGCGCUUGAGACUGGGCUGGCUUGAGUGCGGGAGAGGAUGGUGGAAUUCCCAGUGUAGAGGUGAAAUUCGUAGAUAUUGGGAAGAACACCGGUGGCGAAGGCGGCCAUCUGGACCGCAACUGACGCUGAGGCGCGAAAGCGUGGGGAGCAAACAGGAUUAGAUACCCUGGUAGUCCACGCCGUAAACGAUGAGUGCUAGACGUUGGGAAGCCUAGCUUUCCGGUGUCGCAGCUAACG
RNAcentral lists this ribosomal RNA (486 nucleotides) under uncultured Pseudomonadota bacterium. RNAcentral describes it as "bacterial SSU rRNA". It matches the Rfam family "Bacterial small subunit ribosomal RNA", at positions 355 to 857 of the family's 1533-position model. The record is from RNAcentral. Lineage: Bacteria; Pseudomonadati; Pseudomonadota.